GUGGGGAAUAUUGGACAAUGGGCGAAAGCCUGAUCCAGCCAUGCCGCGUGUGUGAAGAAGGUCUUCGGAUUGUAAAGCACUUUAAGUUGGGAGGAAGGGCAGUAAGUUAAUACCUUGCUGUUUUGACGUUACCGACAGAAUAAGCACCGGCUAACUUCGUGCCAGCAGCCGCGGUAAUACAAAGGGUGCAAGCGUUAAUCGGAAUUACUGGGCGUAAAGCGCGCGUAGGUGGUUUUGUAAGUUGGAGGUGAAAUCCCCGGGCUCAACCUGGGAACUGCCUCCAGAACUGCAUGACUAGAGUACGGUAGAGGGUAGUGGAAUUUCCUGUGUAGCGGUGAAAUGCGUAGAUAUAGGAAGGAACACCAGUGGCGAAGGCGACUACCUGGACUGAUACUGACACUGAGGUGCGAAAGCGUGGGGAGCAAACAGGAUUAGAAACCCGGGUAGUCC
This 450-nucleotide ribosomal RNA is filed under the name uncultured bacterium. Its description in RNAcentral is "partial 16S ribosomal RNA". It matches the Rfam family "Bacterial small subunit ribosomal RNA", at positions 354 to 796 of the family's 1533-position model. The record is from RNAcentral.